CGGGCCACACGCUGUGAGGAUCACUCCAAAACAUACUCCAUUCCACGUAUCAUUUUUGUGCAGUUUGUGCGUCCAUGUGUGUGUGUUCAAGAACUCGCACACUGCACGCACGCGAACCGAGCCAGACCCAAAGCGAGCUCCUCCUACCCCCCUCCCCUCUCCGUUCUCUGACCAGCUCUCCCUCCCCCUGCUCACCAAUGCUCAGUUCGGUGUGUGUCUCCUCUUUCAAAGGGCGCAAGGGUGGGAACAAGUCGUCCAGCAAAGCAUGUUACAGCGCAGACAUGACUUGUCCGUCAGAGAGCGAGAAAAUAGUGAUAAACUGCGGGGGGAUUCGGCAUGAGACUUACCGCAGCACGCUGAAGACCCUACCCGGGACCCGCUUGUCUUGGCUUACCGAGCCUGAUGCGUUCAGUAACUUUGACUAUGACCCCAAAUCCGACGAGUUCUUCUUUGACCGCCACCCCAACACUUUUGCGUUCAUCCUAAACUAUUACCGCACAGGGAAGUUGCAUUGUCCCAACGAUGUCUGCGGACCUCUCUUUGAGGAGGAGCUCGCUUUUUGGGGGAUCGAUGAGACGGACGUGGAGGCUUGCUGCUGGAUGAACUACCGACAGCAUCGGGAUGCUGAAGAAGCGCUGGACAGCUUCGAGACGCCCGAGCCGGACCUGCCAGAGGACGACCCGGCACUUACGGGUGGUGCGGAUGGGGACUUGAAGAGGUUGUGUCUACAGGAGGACGGGCGGAACGCCAGCUGGUGGAGUAUAUGGCGGCCCCGAAUCUGGGCGCUGUUUGAGGAUCCCUACUCCUCAAAAUACGCCAGGUAUGCGGCGUUCGGCUCGCUCCUGUUCAUCCUCAUCUCCAUCUCAACAUUUUGCUUGGAGACACACGAGGCCUUCAACACCAUCACCAAUAAGACAGAGAAUGUGACAGUGGGGAACGUCACGCGGGAGGAGAUUGUGUUUGAGGUAGUGACUGACAGAUGGCUUACCUAUGUAGAAGGAAUGUGCGUCAUCUGGUUCACCAUCGAGGUGUUCGCCCGUGUCAUCUUCUGCCCAGACAAGGCUGAGUUCUUCAAGAGCAGUUUGAACAUCAUCGACUUUGUAGCUAUCCUACCCUUUUACCUGGAGGUGGCGCUGAGCGGCCUCUCUUCUAAAGCCGCCAAAGAUGUGCUGGGCUUUUUGCGCGUGGUGCGAUUCGUCCGAAUCCUUCGAAUCUUCAAGCUCACGCGCCAUUUUGUGGGGCUAAGAGUGCUGGGCCAUACUCUUCGUGCCAGUACCAAUGAAUUCUUGCUUCUCAUCAUCUUCCUUGCUCUUGGAGUGCUCAUCUUCGCAACUAUGAUUUACUACGCUGAGCGCAUCGGCGCAGACCCAGACGACAUCACAGCAAGCAAACAUACCACCUUCAAAAACAUCCCCAUAGGCUUCUGGUGGGCAGUGGUGACCAUGACGACGCUGGGCUAUGGUGACAUGUAUCCAGAGACGUGGUCUGGUAUGUUAGUGGGCGCCCUUUGCGCCUUGGCGGGUGUGCUGACCAUCGCCAUGCCAGUCCCCGUCAUUGUUAACAACUUCGGCAUGUACUACUCUCUGGCCAUGGCCAAGCAGAAGCUGCCCAAGAAAAAGAAUAAGCACAUCCCACGGGCUCCGCAGCCUGGAUCGCCCAACUACUGUAAACCAGACGCCCUGGCCAUGGCGACUGCCUCGCCACACAGGAUCAUGGGUAAUGUGCUGGGCACUAUGGUGGGCUCUGGAAGCAUGGCAGGAGACUGUCCUCUUGCACAGGAGGAAAUCAUAGAGAUUAACAGAGCAGACUCAAAGCAGAAUGGUGAUGCUGCAAAUGCAGCUCUGGCUAAUGAGGACUGUCCCAACAUAGACCAGGUGCUGGGGCCAGAUGACAGGAGUCCAGCCACUGGUGGUUUGGGAACAGGCACGGGGCGUGAGCGUUACCCCCAUGAUCGGGCCUGCUUCCUCCUCAGUACUGGAGAGUUCCGCACCACAGACAGCAAUGUCAGGAAAGAGAACUAUUCUGAAAGCCCAGUGCUUAUCAGAUAUAUGCAAAAAGAAGCAGUAACUGUGAACUAAGACUAGAACAGAAAAUCCACUUCUUCCUUCACAAACACAUUCCCAAAUGAACGCCUGGCCCCUGUCUCCCAAAACCAGUAUCAACUCCUGUCCAUUCCAUUUGAGCUCAGUCUCCUCAUCACUCAUUCCCAAAACAUGACAUUAUCCAUCUUUUUAACUCUUUCGUUUGUAGCUUUGAAGACCAGAGCAUUAUUAAUGAGGAGAUUGGUAGUUACGUUACCCAUCUGAGUUCUGUUAACCUCUGCUCUUACCCCCUCUGCUGGUUUUACGGGGGAUGAACUGAUGUAGCAUUCAGUAAUGUUGAUCACUAGCGCUGUUUGGUCACAUUAGAGGCUAAGAAUACAGACUUUAGCCCUUUACCUGUUAUUCAUUAGAUUAAAAAGAUAAUUGUAGGCAUUCGUUUGAAUGGACUUGUGACAGAUUUCCUGUUCUCUCAUGUGCAGUGAGUAAAAUCAGUCCAUAUAAUGCUGAUGGGGGGAGAGUGAAAGAUAACAAUGAAAAUAAUUGUGCUCACUACAGUAAUGCAUGUUCAAGAUAGCAAAAUUCUGCAUCCUCGUGCAUCUUGUGGUUUUCCUGUGUGUAGUCUGUAGAGGCAGAGUCGGGGUGAGCAGGGUCGGAGGGGACAAGACAAAUGAGAAAAGCCUGUCCCUAGUUAGCUUAGUAAGUGAACGUCUUGGUGAACAGAUAAAAGGCUGCAUGUGAUCAGGGAGGACACUGUAAAUAAACUCAGUCUUGUACUCAGAUUGCAUGUUGAGGCAACAGCACAGAAACUAUUGUUUGACUUAAGUGUUUAUAAAAAGUGUGGCAUUUCAAAUAGGGAGAGCAGGUCCGUUCACGUGCUUUGACUACAUUACCCAGACUCCUCUCUGUCUUGGUCAGACUUAUGCUCCCCUGUCACUACUCAGGUAUUUCUCUUUUGUUUGUCUAAACCAGUGCUUCCAAAAUGAUGUCAUUUUAAAACAAAGAGAGAGAAAGAGAUUGAUGAAUUAUAUGCAUCCUGUCUACGCAUGCACAUUUGUAAAUACGAAAUAGCCUAAUCUGUUUAACCCUAUCACUCAUUACAAGCCUUCCUUUUCACAUUGUCCUUGUGCUAUGUAUUUCCUUUCACAUCUGUAUUUGUUAUUUCAUAUGCCACUUUCAUUUAUUUUCAUCUGCAAACUCUACUGCUUCCAAAUAACCAAACAAAAAGCCUGGAUGACAUAAUGAGAAAUCAAGAAAAAAUACUCAUUUGUUAAAACUAACAUGGUCUGCCAUUAGUGGAUUACAAAAACUGUAAAUGGAAUCAGGACAGAUUGUGUGUUUGGGGAAACAAGUGGGAGAGUAUUAUGAGGAUUUUCAACAAAUGAAGAAAGGCAUCGGGAAAUGGAGGACAGUUUGGGGAAGAAAGAAAAAAAGAGAGGAGGAAGGGAGCUGAACGCUUCGCAGUUGCUGAGCUUCUGAACUGCCUCUUUUUUUGCAAAAGAAGAGCUCCCCAACUGCAAAACCUAUCCAGAGGCAAACCCCAGGGUCACCACAAGACUAGAGAUGGCUCAGAGGAAGCGAAAGAGAGAAAAUGAGAGAUGAACGGAGCGCUGUGUGAAACCCACUUGAAGAAAACAUGCUAUCACUCUUCUCUCCAUUACUAAUUCUGCUAUUUCAACCUAACAUUGGUGCAAUAAACUGAUGACGAUUCCACAUCCUGGGAUUGUGUGGAACUCUACUAAUUCUUCCAACAGGGCCGGGUUACAAACUGUAGUAUGUCCUUGCACGACCUUUCAAAAACUUUUUUUAGACUACCUGAUGAGCAUUGUGGAAAAUGCACCUGCAAUCCUGCAAAACAAGUGGAAAGCCGCUCAGAUCCUUAUCAAUUUGUAUCCAGUCUUAGAAACAAGUAAUGUGUGGAAAAAUGCCCAUUAUGCACUUCAACGCUAUGCAAUUCAACCACACAUUUGAGUUCAUCAAGCGCUUAAAUCGAAAAGCUUACCCUCAGCCAAACCUUUUUCACUCCUUACCCUUUUUGGACUUCUUGCACAUGCUUUAAAUGAAAAUAGACAACAGCGUCAUGUUUUCUACAUUGUACAAAUGGUUUCCCAUCCAUUUAAUUGGAAAUCUUGUUUUGAGUGUCCUUCUCAGGGCUCGAAGAAACGUGACUGUCGACUAUGAAGAAACGAAAGUCAGCCUCUCUCUUUUCGCUCUCUCUCUCUCUGUUCAGCUCUCUACAUUUCAUCAUUUCUGUUCCACUGUACAUGAUCUGCAUGGCAUGAAUGAAAUGAAAAAAACAAACAAAAAAACAACAUCAUUGAGGAGGAUGGUAGAGAUCAAAUAGAGAGGAACAAGAGAGCAAAUCAUAAUCAGGACUGGUCUGGUCUGUUUGCACAGUAAAAUGGCAAUAUGGGGUUAAUCAAAUACGGUGACUCUGGAUCAGUUGAAUGAGAGAUUGGGUCAUGGAUUUAAAAAAUGCAUGUCUUUCACCUUCAUGCGGGGAACAGAAAAUACAGCAUAAGUGCAUGAAAUCUGUUGAAGGACAGAGGGGUUUUUAAGUGGACUGUGUGGACUUUGAACAAAAAAAGAAAGAAAGAGAAAAUAACAAAUGCAUUUUUCUCACUUUUUACCAGCAUGACUAAACUGCAUGACUUCUGCAAGCCCUGAACCCCAAAUUAGAGGGCUUGGAAUCACUAAACAACUAAAUCAAAUGGAAACAAUACACAUUUAUGCUAAAUGUUACUAAAUUCAGAAAAAAAUAUUCUAUUUAAAAAAGAGAGGCUCUAUAUUUUGUUUUUAAAUAAUAAUAAAAAAAGAAUAAUGUAAAAAUACAUAUGAUUGCAAGAUUUACACAGUUUUGUUGGAUAAAAGAUAUCAAACUCCACCACGUCUGAAUGAUGAGAUGAACUCCUACAACUUCUACUGCUCCUCCCAUGGCUUCAAGUUUUACCCUUUACUUGAACUCUCCUGGCUCUCUGCUCUCUGUGCUGAGCAUUGCAUAUCCACUCUUUUCAUGGCAGCCUCCAGCAGUGGCACAACAGCUCCUCUGGAGACCUCCGACAUCUACAGGGCUCUUUUCUUUGAAUGCUUGUGGGUCUGAAGUGCAAGGUGACUGCUUCGCCGAAGGGGAUUUUUAGGCUGUGGGUGUGGGUGAAUAAGUUUUUUAUUUUUUUAUCAUUUUCAUGUGUUGAUAUGUUUUCUUAAUUUCAUCCCACAUCUGUUCUGUGGGUAAAUCAAAGCUUUAUCCAACAAAGUGAGUUCUGAGACCACCAAAUAUUAAUCUAAUUAAUAUUAGCUUUUUGUGAACAGAAAAUGUGAUCUGAAAUGCCAUUUUAGCAUUAAGACUCUGAGCACUUACAUUGCAAAGCACUAUUGUCCAAUCAGGAAGCCAUAAUGUAAUAGCAGCACCACCAUUUGAGUUCAAAGGUGCUCAUGAGAAAAUGCUGGUACAUUUAAAUCCAGAAGUUGUUUUUGUAGUUCUUAGGUCAUUCUGUUUGGUUCAGGAUGUUGUCAUAAGCAUUUAUUUGACUUUUUUGUUUAGGUGGUGCAGAAUGUGUUUGAGAAGAUUUUGACAAGAUAUUUUAUUUUCUGGAAAAUUUAAAAAAAGUGUGCAUUCCAUAUAUCAAAAUGCUCUUCCUGGUUAACUCGGCAACAGGUUUCUGAUGGGCAUAAUUCAGGGUGGGAAGACGGCUUGAUUCCAUCAUUACCACCUUUAUGUCUUAGAUUACUCAUGUGAUCAAAACUCUUGACUAUUUGUGUAUUUGUUUUACCAGCAAGAGAAGAAAUGCUGAUUGAUUCUCUCAAGUUGGAAUUCAUGUUUAUUUUAAAUGAGCCUAUUUUGGGGUUUCAUUAUCUUUACAUUGAUUUAUGUCCCUUGCCGUGUUACGUUUUUAAACUAUGUUCUGUUAACCAUCUUAAUAUGAUAUUUUUUGGGUAAUUAUGGUAUCAGAAUAUAAAGUAAGCUUAGUUUAGUAACUACCUAUGCAACACCUAAACAAGAUUUUAGCAGCUUACACACACACACACAUGCUUUGUCUUCAGGCCAGCUAGCUUGUGUCUGUUGUGUCCAGGGAGAAUAAAUAAUUACACAAAUGUAGCUCUAUCACAGUUAGGUCCAGAGCCAGCAUUAUCUGGUGACUGUGCAGUGUAGAGAAGCUGUUACUUCAACCACUUUAAAUGUUAGCAGCUUGUCCAUGUAGCUUGAAGGUGUAACAGAUGUGUGCAGCUUUAGUAGCCAUGUUUCUUUUCUUUUAGUGGUGCACUGAAUUCACUCUCCUAUAGAAGAUAUCACUUAUUUAAAGUGUCAGGCCAGCUUUAUGUCUCUUUCGGCAAUGUCUCUCCUGUUUGUUUCAGGAUGGAAGAAAUACGCAAUGCAGGAAAAUGCUCAUGCACUUUUCAAGUUAAAAAUUACCAUCUAUAUGUGUGAAUAUAUUAAUCUCAGAGCAUAUCUGUAGGAUAUACUGUAUUUGUUACCAAAACUUUCAUCUUACAAGCGUUUUCACGACGUGUAUCACUCUAGUCAUUUAUAAAGUGCUACGUAUGCAGAUAUUACUGAGCAGUAUGGAGCAAUAAUGAUGGAACGCCACCUUUUUCUCAUUGUUGAGUGUUGUUGUCAUUAGGAAUUAGGGGACACGUUCAUCUCAUCCCUAAUAAUAAAUCCAGUGUGCCUGAAACUGUUCCCUGAAUGUUUCUGUAUGUAAAUCGGCCACAUCAGUUCAAGACAGCUCUGCCUGUGAAUGGUUCUUGUGUGUAAUGAGAUUUUGUGUGUUUCAAAUGUGAACUUGCUGAGUGAGACCACAUCCCCUUGAGAUGACUAACAGCUCACCACUUGCAUACCUUUACUUGAAACCCUAAUACGAAACAUAUCAGAGAGGAGCAGAACAUAGCCAGAAUCAGUCUUCACUCUCUCUAUUUCCUGUCUGCAUCCCCCUCUCAUCCCUGUUCCCUCUCCUUCUCUAUUUUUGAGAAAGAGGCUUUUUUGCAUCCCUUGUUCUUGUGUUGAAUUAUAAUACAUGCAUGGAAUACAAUGAGGACAUAACUUGUGAAUAAUUUGUGAAUGGCCAGAAUGAAGUAACCAUCUCUUUCACCUGGACUCUCUGCUCUGCUACUAAUCUCUCUGAGACAGAAAAGUACUAGAGAGAAAGAAUAUAUCUAGCUGGACAAUUGUUAAAGGAUUAAUUUGUCUAUUUUUCUUAAAAAUAAAUUAUCCAUACCAAAAAGUUAUGGCUAUAUACUAGCCAUUCCAAAUCAGUCUUUAAAGUUUAAGUCUUUAAUUAUUUAUAUAUUUUUUAAAUAUACAUGUUAUUUGUGAGUUUGGUGUCUGAUAUAUCCACAGAAAGUGUUUGGUAGCCACCAUUGUAGCUAAUGCUAUUCAGCGCUUCCUCAGACUCAGAGCUGAAAGAAUAUAGAUGCAGCAGUUGUGAUGGAACACAUUUUAUCUAAAUGUCAACAUUUGGAAUUAAUUUCAUUUAGAAUGUGUCUGCACACUAGUUAUUAUUAUAGUAUAUAUAUAUAUAUAUAUAUAUAUAUAUAUAUAUAUAUAUAUAUAUAUACACACACACACACAAUAUAUAUAUUGUCUUUAUUUUUAGCUUGUUUAAAUGGGGGAAUUCAUUGCACUAUCACAGCUAAUGGAGUUGCUGUGUCUACUGCUGAGCGCAAUCCUAACCAUAAAUCCCCCCUAAUACAGAGAGAAAGACUGAGAAAGAGAGGCCAGUGGGAAAGAGAAGGUUUCUAAAACAAUGGAUGAGUUCUAUGUUAGAUUGAUGCUGGAUACAAUUUUGCUGUCAUAACACGAAGAAAGGGAAAAAUAUCAAGAAAUGUAUAAAAUAUAUUUCAAUGGAAUGUUUAUUAUUUACAUUUUAUAUUUUUUAAAUGUAUAAAGAAAAAAAAUAAUAAACUGUAAAAUUGAACAGGGUUUGUGAAAACAGAGACUUAAAAAAAUCAUUAUAUUAAUAAAAGUAUGAAAGUUUGAACGUGAAUGCUAACCUAAAUGAUCAAAUCUUCAUUACAGAUAGGAAAAAAAUGAAAACUAUUAGAAAAAUGAAAUCCAAUUUAAAAAGAAAAGGUUAUUAAAAAGUAAAUAAAAAUAUUAAAAGC
This is an RNA transcript of Xyrauchen texanus (razorback sucker), 8138 nucleotides long. It is a transcript of the gene named potassium voltage-gated channel subfamily C member 1-like, with no coding region annotated. The transcript has 6 exons. Lineage: Eukaryota; Metazoa; Chordata; Actinopteri; Cypriniformes; Catostomidae. The record is from RefSeq and is a predicted model, not a curated record.